GAGACCCUUCAGGACAGGGGCUUGCCUCCCCUCUGAAGAGAGGGGGAGGGAGGAGGACUAACAGUCUGAGACAUGGGCCAAUGCCCAGGGAGGUCUGAUCCUCUAGAGACGUUCUAGAACCCCAUUCUAUUUUUCUACGGUUGAAAAAACUAUAUAUUUUUUUCAAAUAUACAAAUAUAAAUAUAUGUGUAUAUAUCCUUCCUCAAUUCUUAGGGGGCACCCAGGCCCCCUGGACUAUCCAAGGGUCUGGUCAGCAGCUGGUCAGUAGUACAACCACCAAACGAGGAAGUGAGGUUGCCGGAUAAAAUAGAGAACCCCGAGUUGAAUCUGAACUUCAGAUAAACAACAAAUAUUUUUUUAGUAUAACGACGAGCCGCAGCCUGCCACACUUUUGCUUGCUCAGUCGGGCACCCCUACCACCGGCCGGGUGACUGCGUGUCGUUCCAGGCCAGGAAGCCUUAUCCGGGUUGUGUGAUGACGGCGGCCGGGCAGGAGCCACAAGCGCCCCCACUCCUCCGGGCUGGGGGUCGGCGCCGCGCUCCGCUUGGAAACGCGCCCGAUCGCACCGGGGCGUCGCGGCACCGCCAGCUCAGCACUGGGCCGGGCACGAGGCGGGGACCCCCAGAAACAUACCGAAACCGUCUCCAUGGCUGCCUCUGAAAUAAAGCGGUGUGUGUGGGAAGAGAAACUCGAGGGGGAAGUUCAGCAACCAACGCAGAGACUGAUUUUUUUGUUGAAGCCUCACGUUUCUGUUCCUUUUGGUGAUGGUGGUGACAGAGGUGCACGAUGGAUACAAUUUUUGUAACACAGAAGUUACCUCUAAACCCAUUAACCAGCCACGAACAGCGAGUCAGGGAACGGAGUGGAGCAUCUCCGGUCCAUUUUAUUUUCUGGACUUCUGUCGGUGGUGCAAACUGAACUGCAGGCUUGUAACCAAACUUCGCAAAGGGUCUCCUUCGGCUCCUCAACCACAGAGACGCCAGGCUGCGUGGCCACUGGCCACACCUUUCCUCGGGGCGUGCCAGCCAAGGCAAGUGGCUGUUGGAUGGCGUGCGUGGUCCCGUGUCCGCGUCCAACUCUUUCUAUGUUGUUGACUAGGGGUAACCGCAGCAGUGUUGUGGCCGUGGCCCCGCCGACGCGCAGAGGAGAAUCCACGAGAAGUCUUCGAAUUGCUAGCAAGUGGCCCUGAGGCCCAUACAUGGCUACGUGUCAGCUGAGCUGAGACAAACGAGGUGACAGAAACACAAGGGAAGGAAGGAAGCACGGUUAUGCAGCUGCCCACUCCCCUCUGCCCAGACUGGUCCUCGGCGAGCCGCCACCCUGGACUGAUGAGAAUAUGCCAGUGAUAAACCACAACUGUGGGAAACACGGGGUGGGGGCAUAAAUAUCAUCUGUAAACAAUUAGGCAGCCACUGCUCAUUCAGUGCCGUUUUGAGAAGCUAAGGAAGUCUGCAAUCAGUUAUAUCUCCAAUUACCAUAAAAAUAUAUUAGCCAUUCAUUCAUUUAUUAAUGAUUCAUCAGUUAACCACACAUAAUGAGCAAAUAAUUAGCAGUGCUGUACGGUUGCCAAAAUUGAAGAAGUGUUGGCAUUUUAAAGAUGAAAGGUUGCAUUUAUGCAAAAGUCUGGCGAUGAUAAAGUUAAUAUGGAAGAUAAUUAUAAAAGUGGCUGUCCUAUAUUACAGACUGAGGUACCACAAAACUUGCCUAAUUGAACCGAAAUGAAUAUUCUUCCAAAGUCUGCGUAUUGCCACACACAAACUGCUGAAUUUCUCCCGAAGAUCUCCCUUCAGUAAGGUGCACUGCACAAUACAAGUUAAUAAAAUGCCAGACAGCUAGACUGUGUUCUUUGUUUGCUUGGUUCAGGGCCUCGUGGAAAACAAUAAAUUGCAUUCAUGUCAGCUGAGGCCCAUCCCUUUGCUAAUUACCGUUUGGUGCUGAAAUGACUUCUGUGAAAUUGGGAGCAUGAGGAAACAUACAGCCAUACAAGGGAGGCUUUUCAGAGUUUUGCAGUAAAUGUGAGAUAGGCCUCAGGCACACAGAUGUUAAAACAGUGAAUUCCCCCACAGAUUACACUAAUGGAAACCCUGUCAGGGUGCAGUGCUGGGCCCUAGGACUUCAGAGAGGAAACGUCAGGGUUCCUGCUCUUGGGAGACUCUCAUUUCUGCUUGGGAAGCAGGCGCUCAAACUUCACGAAGCCAGAUUUCUGCAUCAUUACAAUGCCUGGCAUGCAGGAGGCCAAUAAAUGUUUGUUGAAUGAAUGGAUCUGUUAAAA
Long non-coding RNA from Leopardus geoffroyi (Geoffroy's cat), 2272 nucleotides. RefSeq lists it as uncharacterized. The transcript has 4 exons. NCBI's taxonomy places the organism in Eukaryota, Metazoa, Chordata, Mammalia, Carnivora, Felidae. The record is from RefSeq and is a predicted model, not a curated record.